RNAcentral lists this ribosomal RNA (1409 nucleotides) under Triticum aestivum (bread wheat). RNAcentral describes it as "partial small subunit ribosomal RNA". Lineage: Eukaryota; Viridiplantae; Streptophyta; Magnoliopsida; Poales; Poaceae. The record is from RNAcentral.
CUCGUACAUCUAGGUACUGCACACGGGUACCUACGCUGGAGUGGACGGGGGAGGGCGGAUAUUUGGACGGCAGCUGGUGUGGUGGAGGGUUCACCUGAGGAAGUAAGGUAAGGCAAGGUAAAGGUAUGCAAAGAAGGAGUUCAGUUCACCGAGAGCUAGGGUGGUGGUUGUAGAAGACAGGCAUCUGGCAUCGAAGGACCACGGACGUCCACCAUCGAUAGAAGGCACAAGUGUAGAGGUAGCUACUUCUGCUUCGUCCGAAGGUUCCGGUUCCGCCGCGGCAGCGGCCCCUUCCUCCUCCUUCGUCAACGUGGCCCCCCAAAGGCCUUCCCUGGUACCUGCCUCGUCCUCCUGUACUUCGACCGCACCAAGCACGCCGAGAAGCCGCUCGCGGCGACCCUAAAGAAUCGAUUCCACAGUCCAGAGUUGGCCUGCCCCUUCUCGACGGCCGAGGCCACCCAGUUGAUGGACGUGGGCCUGGAGUUCGCGCCGGCCUACUCGGGGCUUCUCCUCGCGGAGCAGCAGCUGGAGGUGCGGGCGACCCCGUUGGCGACCAGGGCGUAGCGGUUCCGGUACGGCCCGGCGUGGCUGUUGCUCUAGUUCUUGAUGACCGCGUGGGUGUGGGCGUUCGAGGUGUUCCUGUGCGCGCGGCGGAGACGACGAAGCCGGAGGUGCUGGUGCUGGUGCAGGUGCAGGUACAGCCGCCGCAGAGGCCGGUGGUGCAGGUCGAGGAGGAGGAGGAGUUGCUUGCUGUUGCUAUUGGUGAGCGUAGUGCCGGUGCCGCUGGUUCUCUGCCGCCGGUCGGUCCUUGUUCGUCUAGUGGUCGACGAGAUGUGGAGGCCGUAGCCGUACCUGUCGGUGGAGGAAACCUUGCUGCGGGAGUACCUGAGGAUGCGUACCCCUCGCCGGCGCGGCAGAUACUAUCACGGCGGCGGAAGUAGCGGCCACACCCUGAUGACGACGAGCCUAAGCGAGACCCCUUAUCCACUGCUGCUCCAGCUCAUGUUCUUCUACGAGCGGCAGCGGCCACGGGGUACUAUAAAAUAGUAUGUAGUAGCUAGAAAGGAAUCAGUUAAUAUCUACGGUUGAUCGACUUCUACGAAUGCACGUACGCAGGUUCAGUAUAGGAUCGACUCUGCUCUGAAUUAUACAUGGUCACUAGGUAGUCACGUACGGACGGAACCCUAAAUACGAAAACAUGUACAUUAGAUCGAGGUACACAUACAUACUAUCUCAUUAUUCAUGUGUAUACGUACAUCAAUAAACAUAAUCAUAUUAAAAAUUAUAGAGGAAUUACAAAAUCGUUACAUAUUAUCCGAUGAUCAACAUGAUGUGUAUAUGAUCAGGAACUCUUAAGUCUACCUGAAACAUUUCUUUAUUUCUAAACUGGUGGUACUCAUAUAGAGGAG